This is a long non-coding RNA of Elaeis guineensis (African oil palm), 905 nucleotides long. RefSeq lists it as uncharacterized. The record is from RefSeq and is a predicted model, not a curated record. Lineage: Eukaryota; Viridiplantae; Streptophyta; Magnoliopsida; Arecales; Arecaceae.
UUUUAUUUAUUUUUUUUUUUCACUAUUACGUCCAUUUUCCCAUCAGGAGGGCCAAAAUGAGAGGGGGCUGCUCCCUCCUCCAAGGAGAAGGCAAAGAUUUCCCCGCCUCGCUCCAAGAGACUUCGCCGUCUCCUCCUCCUCCUCGCCCUCUUCUCCCUUAUCCCUCCGCAUUUUUUUUUCCCUCCCGCCUCAGCCGGUUCCACCAGGUCUUUUCGCUUCUCGAAACGGAAGCCUACCGGAUUGAUCUUGAUUCUCGUGUAAAUUUUGUGGAGAUUUAUGUCUCUCCUUCUUCGCAUGAAGUGUUGUUUGCGCUCCAGGGCAGUUGAUUUUCCUCCGGCCGUGGGGCUAGUUGCUGGAAAGAUCAUCACAACUGUAUUCUCAUUUGAGAAUGUUGGCAGGACAAGAAAGUUGGCUUCUAAAAUCAUCUUAUCCGGGCAAAAUUUGACAUUGUUGGAAGGGUUGUAAUCAAGCUUUCACAAGAUGUCAUGGUAGAUGGGAAGAGUGUGAUUUGCUGCACUGCCUUUAGCUGGAAGAUCUGUAGGAGUGGAAAUAUAUCUUUUCAGCCAAACCUAGACAAAGACUGCCAAUUGCUGGCAAUGACAAACUUCACCUACUUCUCCUGUAGUAGUGGACCAGUGGACCUUGAUGCUCUGUGUUGGAAUGUACUGAAUGGACCAAGUUAGAUAUCAUACCAUGCUCUCCUAUGUCCUGGCCAUGCCACCUAUCUCAUGGGUUCAUCCUUUGGGUUAGGGGGUGGGGGCCCCUUAGACCAUGAUUUGCCUUCGAUGUUAAGAAAUACCAAGCUUGGGCCACUGAGAUCCAGCUAAUCUGAUGUUUUAUCUUAUAUGCUUUGGCUUUUGUUGGAAACAUGUACUAAAAUGCAGCCUAUAUUGUGUUUUCCACCA